UGAGCAAUCUGCCCUUCUCUUCGGAAUAAGCGUUGGAAACGACGUCUAAUGCCGAAUACGACCUCCUUUCGCAUGAUCGGAGGUGGAAAACUCCGGCGGAGAAGGAUGAGCUCGCGGCCUAUCAGCUAGUUGGUGUGGGUAAUGGCCCACCAGGGCGACGACGGGUAGCCGGCCUGAGAGGGUGACCGGCCACACUGGGACUGAGACACGGCCCAGACUCCUACGGGAGGCAGCAGG
Molecule: ribosomal RNA, 237 nt
Filed under: uncultured bacterium
Lineage: Bacteria
Description: partial 16S ribosomal RNA
Rfam family: Bacterial small subunit ribosomal RNA
Source: RNAcentral